CCUACGGGAGGCAGCAGUGGGGAAUAUUGCACAAUGGGGGGAACCCUGAUGCAGCGACGCCGCGUGGGUGAAGGAGUAUUUCGGUAUGUAAAGCCCUAUCAGCAGGGAAGAACAAUGACGGUACCUGACUAAGAAGCACCGGCUAAAUACGUGCCAGCAGCCGCGGUAAUACGUAUGGUGCAAGCGUUAUCCGGAUUUAUUGGGUUUAAAGGGUGCGUAGGCGGAUUUUUAAGUCAGCGGUAAAAUGUCCGGGCUCAACCCGGGCCGGCCGUUGAAACUGGGGAUCUUGAGUGGGCGAGAAGUAUGCGGAAUGCGUGGUGUAGCGGUGAAAUGCAUAGAUAUCACGCAGAACUCCGAUUGCGAAGGCAGCAUACCGGCGCCCGACUGACGCUGAGGCACGAAAGCGUGGGGAUCGAACAGGAUUAGAUACCCGAGUAGUC
RNAcentral lists this ribosomal RNA (440 nucleotides) under uncultured bacterium. Its description in RNAcentral is "partial 16S ribosomal RNA". It matches the Rfam family "Bacterial small subunit ribosomal RNA", at positions 338 to 795 of the family's 1533-position model. The record is from RNAcentral.